Molecule: long non-coding RNA, 605 nt
Filed under: Homo sapiens (human)
Lineage: Eukaryota; Metazoa; Chordata; Mammalia; Primates; Hominidae
Description: non-protein coding lnc-RAB27A-3:3
Source: RNAcentral
GCCCGUCUUCCGAGCGGCGCUGGCCACCACGCCACCCUUGGGUGGCGUUGGCAGCGAGGAACUUCAGGAGCGAUCCCAGCUAGCGCCUACCAGGAAUCUUGGAUGUCUGAUGCUUGUCGGCUGGAUAUUGGAAUUAGAACAACAGAUCGUGAGAACUGUCAAGACCUGGGUAUUGAUUUGGUAGACACAGUGGAAGUUAAGUUGAUGAAGAAUAAGGACAGUGUUGAGUUGGUUGGGAGUCACCAGUGGAUCCAGAAGAGAGUUGUUGGAGGAAAUAAAAGAUAGAGGGCCUGAAGCACUAACAAAGAACAAGUAUCUCAUCUUUUUUUAUGCUUGAUUUCCAAACCUAAAUCUCCUGAGCUCCAAAUCUGAAUUUUCCAUUGGAUGUACCUAACAUCAGAUCUUGAUCUUUCUUGAUUGCAAAGUGAGAUUAUCACAUUGCUAGACUAAGCUUCUCAAGGUCUCUGUAGAUCCUUCAUUGUGCCUUUCAGGUGUUCAGAUUUUGCAAAUCUAAAUGUCAUAAAAACUUUAAAAAGAAGCGCAAUCCUCGCAAAGUUAGGUGGACCAAAGCAUUCCGGAAAGCAGCUGGUAAAGAGCUUACAGUG